RNAcentral lists this ribosomal RNA (972 nucleotides) under human gut metagenome. RNAcentral's name for it is "bacterial LSU rRNA". It matches the Rfam family "Bacterial large subunit ribosomal RNA", at positions 1956 to 2925 of the family's 2925-position model. The record is from RNAcentral.
GUAGCGAAAUUCCUUGUCGGGUAAGUUCCGACCUGCACGAAUGGCGUAACGACUUCCCCACUGUCUCGACCAGGAGCUCGGCGAAAUUGCAGUACGAGUAAAGAUGCUCGUUAAGCGCAGAAGGACGAAAAGACCCCGGGACCUUUACUAUACCUUGGUAUUGGCGUUAGGCGCGGAUUGUGUAGCAUAGGCGGGAGGCUUCGAAGCGGGUGCGCCAGCAUUCGUGGAGCCGCAAGGUGAAAUACCGCUCUGUUCUCGUUUGACGUCUAACCUCGACAAGUCAUCCUUGUCAGGGACAGUGCCUGGCGGGUAGUUCAACUGGGGCGGUUGCCUCCCAAAGAGUAACGGAGGCGCUCAAAGGUCCGCUCAGCCCGGUUGGCAAUCGGGUGUCGAGUGUAAUCGCACAAGCGGGCUUGACUGCGAGGACGACGGUCCGAGCAGGGACGAAAGUCGGAGAUAGUGAUCCGGUGCCGGCGCACGGGCGCGGCAUCGCUCAACGGAUAAAAGGUACCCCGGGGAUAACAGGCUGAUCAUUCCCAAGAGUCCAUAUCGACGGGAUGGUUUGGCACCUCGAUGUCGGCUCGUCGCAUCCUGGGGCUGGAGCAGGUCCCAAGGGUUCGGCUGUUCGCCGAUUAAAGCGGCACGCGAGCUGGGUUCAGAACGUCGUGAGACAGUUUGGUCUCUAUCCUCUGCGCUCGUUGGAAUGCUGAGGAGGCCUGCCCAUAGUACGAGAGGACCUGGGUGGACGAACCUCUGGUAUGCCGGUUGUCGCGCCAGCGGCACGGCCGGUUGGCUACGUUCGGGAGGGAUAACCGCUGAAAGCAUCUAAGCGGGAAGCCUGCUCCAAGAUUAGGAUUCCGUACGGUCUCGAACCGUUGUAGCCCGCAUGUUGAACACGUGUUUGAUAGGCCGGAGGUGGAAGCCCCGUGAGGGGUGGAGCCGACCGGUACUAACGGGCGACGGCGACACAAC